GGCCUUUUGAGUUUAAUUUAAGGUCUAGCCUGCCCACUGAAUUUUAAAUGGCUGCGGUAUCCUGACCGUGCUAAGGUAGCAUAAUCAUUAGUUUUUUAAUUGAAAGCUGGAAUGAAUGGUUGGAUGAGAAAAUAACUGUCUCUUUGAAGAUAAUUAGAAUUUUAUUUUUAAGUAAAAAAGCUUAAAUAUUAUUAAAAGACGAGAAGACCCUAUAGAGUUUUAUGAAGUUUUUACUUGUAGUUUUUGGUAAUCAAACCUUUAAUUAAAGGCUUUUUUUGGUUGGGGCGACUGAAAAAUUAAUUAAACUUUUUUUUUCUUUUAUCACUGAUUUGUGAAUUAUUGAUCCUUAUUUAACGAUUAAAAGAUAAAAUUACCUUAGGGAUAACAGCGUAAUUUUCUUUGAGAGUUCUAAUCGAUAGGAAAGGUUGCGACCUCGAUGUUGGAUUAAAAUUAAUGUUUGGUGUAGAAGCUGAAUUAUUAGGUCUGUUCGACCUUUAAAAUUU
Molecule: ribosomal RNA, 503 nt
Filed under: Philus antennatus
Lineage: Eukaryota; Metazoa; Arthropoda; Insecta; Coleoptera; Vesperidae
Description: partial 16S ribosomal RNA
Rfam family: Bacterial large subunit ribosomal RNA
Source: RNAcentral